UUAAGGGGGGAAUCUUCGGCAAUGGACGAAAGUCUGACCGAGCAACGCCGCGUGAGUGAAGAAGGUUUUCGGAUCGUAAAACUCUGUUGGUAGAGAAGAACGUUGGUGAUAGUGGAAAGCUCAUCAAGUGACGGUAACUACCCAGAAAGGGACGGCUAACUACGUGCCAGCAUGGCCGAAAAUUAA
RNAcentral lists this ribosomal RNA (186 nucleotides) under uncultured Lactococcus sp. RNAcentral's name for it is "partial 16S ribosomal RNA". It matches the Rfam family "Bacterial small subunit ribosomal RNA", at positions 350 to 525 of the family's 1533-position model. Lineage: Bacteria; Bacillati; Bacillota; Bacilli; Lactobacillales; Streptococcaceae. The record is from RNAcentral.